AUGAACGCUGGCGGCGUGCCUAAUACAUGCAAGUCGAGCGAACAGAUAAGGAGCUUGCUCCUUUGACGUUAGCGGCGGACGGGUGAGUAACACGUGGGUAACCUACCUAUAAGACUGGGAUAACUUCGGGAAACCGGAGCUAAUACCGGAUAAUAUUUCGAACCGCAUGGUUCGAUAGUGAAAGAUGGUUUUGCUAUCACUUAUAGAUGGACCCGCGCCGUAUUAGCUAGUUGGUAAGGUAACGGCUUACCAAGGCGACGAUACGUAGCCGACCUGAGAGGGUGAUCGGCCACACUGGAACUGAGACACGGUCCAGACUCCUACGGGAGGCAGCGGUAGGGAAUCUUCCGCAAUGGGCGAAAGCCUGACGGAGCAACGCCGCGUGAGUGAUGAAGGUCUUCGGAUCGUAAAACUCUGUUAUUAGGGAAGAACAUACGUGUAAGUAACUGUGCACGUCUUGACGGUACCUAAUCAGAAAGCCACGGCUAACUACGUG
Molecule: ribosomal RNA, 496 nt
Filed under: uncultured bacterium
Lineage: Bacteria
Description: partial 16S ribosomal RNA
Rfam family: Bacterial small subunit ribosomal RNA
Source: RNAcentral